Molecule: ribosomal RNA, 253 nt
Filed under: uncultured bacterium
Lineage: Bacteria
Description: partial 16S ribosomal RNA
Rfam family: Bacterial small subunit ribosomal RNA
Source: RNAcentral
UACAGAGGCUACGAGCGUUAGGCGGAAUCACUGGGCUUAAAGCGUGUGUAGGUGGAUGGGUAAGUACCUUGUGAAAUCCCACGGCUCAACCGUGGAACUGCUUGGUAUACUGCCUGUCUUGAGGCACUCAGGGGCGAGCGGAACAGAUGGUGGAGCGGUGAAAUGCGUAGAUAUCAUCUGGAACGCCAAUGGUGAAGACAGCUCGCUGGGGGUGUACUGACACUGAGACACGAAAGCCAGGGGAGCAAACGGG